Molecule: ribosomal RNA, 506 nt
Filed under: uncultured bacterium
Lineage: Bacteria
Description: partial 16S ribosomal RNA
Rfam family: Bacterial small subunit ribosomal RNA
Source: RNAcentral
AGUGAACGCUGGCGGUAGGCCUAACACAUGCAAGUCGAACGGCAGCACAGGAGAGCUUGCUCUCUGGGUGGCGAGUGGCGGACGGGUGAGGAAUACAUCGGAAUCUACUCUGUCGUGGGGGAUAACGUAGGGAAACUUACGCUAAUACCGCAUACGACCUACGGGUGAAAGCAGGGGACCUUCGGGCCUUGCGCGAUUGAAUGAGCCGAUGUCGGAUUAGCUAGUUGGCGGGGUAAAGGCCUACCAAGGCGACGAUCCGUAGCUGGUCUGAGAGGAUGGGCAGCCACACGGGAACUGAGACACGGUCCGGACACCUACGGGAGGCAGCGGUGGGGAAUAUUGGACAAGGGGCGCAAGCCUGAUCCAGCCAUACCGCGUGGGUGAAGAAGGCAUUGGGGUUGUAAAGCCCUUUUGUUGGGAAAGAAAUCCAGCUGGCUAAUACCCGGUUGGGAUGACGGUACCCAAAGAAUAAGCACCGGCUAACUUCGUGCCAGCCGCCGCCGUAA